AGAUUUCCUGUAUUCUUGAGAAUUAUUCUGUCAUAGAGGUAAGAGAACCAGACUGAGAGUCAGAAGACCUGAGCUCUAGUUCCAGAAGAAAGAUCUUGGGGAAGUCAUUGCAGGAUCCACCAGGAAGAAAAAAGGAUGCUACUGGCCCAAGGAGAAUGUAGAAACCUGUGGUGUCAACUUGAACCCAACUUUACUACGUAGUGAAGCCCAGCUCCUUCCAGUCAAGUCCGAGGAGCCAUAGUUGGUCACCCAUGAGUAAGAAAAUGAGCGGCAGCUGCCAUAAGCCAAGAAAAAUAUGGUUGGUGUAA
RNAcentral lists this long non-coding RNA (308 nucleotides) under Homo sapiens (human). RNAcentral describes it as "HSALNT0391333". The record is from RNAcentral. Lineage: Eukaryota; Metazoa; Chordata; Mammalia; Primates; Hominidae.